Non-coding RNA from Coturnix japonica (Japanese quail), 331 nucleotides. Lineage: Eukaryota; Metazoa; Chordata; Aves; Galliformes; Phasianidae. The record is from RefSeq and is a predicted model, not a curated record.
UGGAGAUACUCAAUAAACAAGUAGAUGUGGUUACUAGGGACGUCGCUUAGUUGGCGAUAUUGAUGCACUACAGUACGAAUGGGGGAGAGUCACAUUCCUCAGCUCAUCCCUUUCUCCAAACUGUUACCAGGAAGGGUCUACAUGCAGAAAUACGUCCUUUUCCAACAUAAGGAAGUGAUGAUAAAUGUGAUUGCCAAGCCACCAGCCUUUCUCAGCACCAUCCACUUACUUCUCAAGCUAAUGAGGAGAGCUGUAUGUUGCAAAUGAGAGCUGUAUGUUAACAGAGAAAAGGCAGCACAGAAAUAAAAAUUAUAAGAACAGUUGUGCAGAA